GAUGAACGCUAGCGGCAGGCCUAACACAUGCAAGUCGAGGGAGAAGCCCUUUCGGGGGCAGAAACCGGCGCACGGGUGCGUAACGCGUAUGCAACCUACCUUUCACAGGGGGAUAGCCCGAAGAAAUUUGGAUUAAUACCCCAUAAUAUUGUUGGAUGGCAUCAUCUGGCAAUUAAAGCUACGACGGUGGAAGAUGGGCAUGCGUCCUAUUAGCUAGUUGGAGUGGUAACGGCACCCCAAGGCUACGAUAGGUAGGGGUCCUGAGAGGGAGAUCCCCCACACUGGUACUGAGACAGGGACCAGACUCCUACGGGAGGCAGCAGUGAGGAAUAUUGGUCAAUGGUCGGAAGACUGAACCAGCCAUGCCGCGUGCAGGAAGAAUGCCUUAUGGGUUGUAAACUGCUUUUAUAUGGGAAGAAUAAGGUGUACGAGUACAUUGAUGACGUACCAUAUGUAAGCUCGCA
RNAcentral lists this ribosomal RNA (464 nucleotides) under Capnocytophaga gingivalis. RNAcentral's name for it is "bacterial SSU rRNA". It matches the Rfam family "Bacterial small subunit ribosomal RNA", at positions 28 to 496 of the family's 1533-position model. The record is from RNAcentral. Lineage: Bacteria; Pseudomonadati; Bacteroidota; Flavobacteriia; Flavobacteriales; Flavobacteriaceae.